This is a long non-coding RNA of Notolabrus celidotus (New Zealand spotty), 3947 nucleotides long. RefSeq lists it as uncharacterized. Lineage: Eukaryota; Metazoa; Chordata; Actinopteri; Labriformes; Labridae. The transcript is spliced from 3 exons. The record is from RefSeq and is a predicted model, not a curated record.
CUCUCUCUCUCUCUCUCUCUCUCUCUCUCUUUUACAGCCGUCCAGCGUCCACAGUCUGCUCAGUUAGUUAGAGAUACACGCUCAGCCACAGGAGCGCAAGAAAAGACAAGAAGAAGAAAAAGAAGAGGAGGAGAAGCAGAGGUGGGGAGGCAAACAAAGCAGACAGAGAACGAGGAGGUGGGCAGCACAGUUUCAGCUCUCACAAGGCUGAGGAGGAGAAAGUGAAGGCAGAGAGAACUUGGCCACUAGUGAAAUGAAAUUCUGGGAGGAGACGGUGGAGCGCUGCGGGGUACGAUAUCCACCGAGAGCCCUGAAAUUGGAAAGCCUGGAAGACAAGCCAGCCCUCUCUGGAUCCUCUGCCUCACCACAGCCGAAGGAUGAGAGGGGACCACUUUCACCUUAGUUGCCAGGGAUGUCUGUGCACUACGGAAAGGCUUCCCCCUUCAGCAUGUCCAAUGCUAUGUUAUUCCUGAUGCUUUGUAAGAUUGGUCUGAGACAUAAACUGCACACUUUGCCUGGGAAAAUGGUAAACAAUCUCCACUGUGAUGAGGAAAAGGGAAUCCAAGACAAGGAAAGUAAGGAGGAGAGCAUCCUGGCGAUGUUGGGCAUCAUUGGGACGGUUCUCAACUUGGUAGUCAUCAUCUUUGUCUACAUCUACACAACACUGUAGACCUUGAACUUUUACUGAACUCAAAGCUCGGGCAGAUCAGAUCUCAGCAGCGCCGCUGACACAGCACAGUGUUGCCUGAUCUGGAGAUGAGGAUGGGAGGUGCAAAGAAGAGGCAAACCUCCCCUGAUGUUGAACGGGAUUUAAGACUAUGUGAUUGCAAUAUGGCAUCCGUCCUGCAUCUCUUUGAGCAGCUUAGACAAUGGGAAACUGGCUUGUUCCUCUGGCCUUCACAGGUAGAAUUAACGAGAAUACCUAGUCAGGUUUGACUUGUACAUAAAUGCAUGAAGCUAACAAGAGAGGCUCAAAGGAUGCAGAUUUUUACCAACAUGGGGACUUCAAAGGCUGCGGAGAAGGCAUGGACACUUUUUAAAACUAUUUUUCAGAUACUGUUCUUAACUAAAUAUAGCAGAUGUUUUUUUAUUUGCUGAAACGGGUUAGAGGUGAAGAUGUACAUAUAAGGUAGCCACAGAUUUCUGCUUUGCAGUUUGUUGUUUUUCUUGAAGAUGAUCUCAGUGAAACAUAAUAUUCAUUGGUUAAUUUGAGAUUUAAACAGACAUAUUGCAAAUUUAAUGUCCGUUUUGAUACAGUUUCUUUUUCUAAUUAGCCCUAAAAUAAUUGAUCAUGGAUGGUGUUUUAUUAAUUGGGACUAAAUCAACCAAACCUGUGCGAAGUUCAUACAAUUGUCAGAUAAACCUUCAAAUAUCGAUAUAAAAUGUGUCUUUUAUUGGCGUUAGCUUUGUUUGAAGUGCUAAAUCCCUAUCCAUAACCAAAUAUAUUUGACAUUGAGGUUGACAUGAAAUGGCCAAGGACCAAGCAGGUUCAUAUUAAUGGCUUUACGUCUUAUUAUUUCAGUUUUUAACAUGUCACUUCAUGGUCUCAUAGGCUGAAGAAAGUGGCAUCCAUUUGUAAGAAAAUGAUUUCAAUAUUUACAAAAGUCUUAGCUCUGGAGGCUGAGGAGUGGCAGGCUUUGAGUUUGGAUUAAUGGGACACACUGCAACCUGUCCAAUCAUAGGUGUAUAUAGAAUUUACACAGCUCGACAGCAAAAGAUAGUUUCCAUCUAUUGAUAUGUUUGUGCAUCAAUGAUUUUCAACUUUGACAUGUGCAUAAUGACUAUAUGCCUUAAAACUUGAGGAAAUGACUAUUUCCAUGAUGUAUAAAACUAUCAGGUUAUUGCUACUUUGUGAAAGGGAACACUUGUUGUAUAUAUAUGUGUUCCGUGGCCUAUGAUGUUGUUUUUAUUUAUAAGAGAUAACUUUGUUGGGUAAUUUUUGAAAGUAACCUUCUGUCUGAAACAACAUGCUAAACCUUAAAGCUCAUAAAUCGUGUCUUUGUGGUGUUUUCAGAUCGAAGACAACUUCCUUUUCUUCAUUUAGAUACUUUCUGUGGUGUAUGAUGGGUGUGGGGCUCACACUGAACAAUACUGUGAAUGUUGUGAAAUUAUAUGAUCACAAGAGCUUUAAUUGUGACUCCUAGUCAAGUCUGGAGGCCUGCAUUUUUUCCCAUUAUGUUAGGAAGUCCUUCGUUUCUCUUUUUGAAUUAAAUAAUCAAAUGAUUCUACCACUUGGGAAAUACACUUUGAGUCUUAGUUGGUGUAAUUCUGUUCCCUUUUCACAAAUUAUCUCACGUACUUGAACUUGAUGUAUGGUGAACCUUUAAGGUGAAGGUUGUGUUUUUGGACAGACCAAUACAGGAUGUAUUUCCCUGUGUUUAAUCUUUAUGCUAGUUUAAUUCAUUUCCUGGCAGCCUAUUUGGGAGAAAAGGUGAAGAGAUUAUAAAACUUUAAAACCUUUUAACUGCAGGCAUGCACACACUAAGGUCCGAUUUUGGUUGCAUAUCAGGUGACUUAAUAUAAAGAGCGAGAAAGACAAACAAGACUUUCACCAAGUAGAAAGUGUUUUAUGUCUCGUGUGAAACUUAAAGACAGCACUGAUUUAUUCAAUAACACAUUUAAGUUGUGUGUUUUAAGUAACAUAAAUCUAACUAUGUGCACAUGUUGUUGUUUUCCAUUGUGUUUUCCCCAAUCCAACAAAGUAAAACCUGAAAGAGACUGCUUCAAAACAUCAACUUUGUGCUAAUUACUGUUACCGUGAUGAGAAAGGUCAACUUACUGUUGUUACCAGGACAUCUAAAGUCACCUGUGAUCAUCAGACAAAUGUCACCCUACUCUGUCCUUCCCUGCUUGUAGCUUCUUCUUACCAAAGUUCCUAAAACAAGAAAAAGAUAUGCUGUUAAUGGACUUUUCAAGAUUCUGUUUGAUGCAGACACACCUCCCCCUGCAGCAGUUCCUUCUAAUCAUCAGUAUCGACAGAUAUUGCAUAACAAUGCAGAUCUGUAAGUAAAGGGCCUUUUUUGGUAUCAGACAUGUUCUGGUUUGUGUUUGAAGUCCAAGGAUAUAUGUCUGUAAAACUGUACAUCAUCCACUAGUGUUUCAGCUGGUUUCAAUUGUGUGAGAGUGAGCAAACCAUGUGGAGGCAAAAGGAGAGAAAAGCAAUCCAUUGCAAUACUAAAACCCAUCAUCAGUCAUCGUACGAUGAUUUCAUUGUAUACCUUGUAUAAUGAUCAUCUCACUCCCUGAAAAAGUGUGUGAUAAACAUAUUUCCUAAAAUAUCAAACUAUUUAAAAUAAAAUCAAAGCUAUUGGAGUUGCAAAAAUGUCUAUGAAAAUAAUGUACAGUAUUUACAGAAUGUAAACAUGGACUACGAAGUAUGUUUAGGUUUGUAGGACAAUAACCUCAUGACUUCAGAAAGUGCCUGACAUCAAAGCAUCUCAAUCUCAGCUGUCUUGAGAUGAAGGAAAGUAAAACACAAACCAAUGAAAUUAAGUCAUUUGCAGAAAAACGCUUCUCCUUAUUUACUGCCCUUCAGGACGGGAUUUGUACUUCAUCACUCAGUUGAUAAAGUCACCUUUUUUGUCUGUUUUUUUCCACAGAAUGACGAAGGCCUAGAAAGCACACAAACAAGUUGUUUGAAUGUAUUCAUAUUUAAUGUAAAUCUGAUUAUUCUUAUGGGUUAUUUAUUUUUCCUAAAUAUGUAAUCUGAAUUUGCUUCUAUGCUUUCUUUAUGUGUAUGCUAAUCUAUUUAAACUAAUUUAUUAGGUGCUUGUUGUUGGCAGAUGGAAGGGUUUUUCAGCCUGCAGUUUGAGUAAAAAACAUUGAAUAAAUAUUUCUUGAAGCUGAUUUAUUUGGGAUGUUUGGGCUUGUAUGGUAUAAAGGAAUGAAUAUCAAUGGUUUAUAUAUCGAUGUAUACUCUAGUAAUUAAACAUUACCAUUGUUCUUCA